AUACCAUGGUGGGGACAUUUCCUCAAUUACUCCUUGAAGUGCUCCCAAGCAUCAUAUAAUGACUCGCCAUCCAUCUGAUAGAAAUUAUUAAUCUCCCCCCUUAAUUU
Molecule: small nucleolar RNA, 107 nt
Organism: Humulus lupulus (European hop)
Lineage: Eukaryota; Viridiplantae; Streptophyta; Magnoliopsida; Rosales; Cannabaceae
Source: RefSeq, a predicted model, not a curated record